MicroRNA precursor from Astatotilapia calliptera (eastern happy), 64 nucleotides. The record is from Ensembl. NCBI's taxonomy places the organism in Eukaryota, Metazoa, Chordata, Actinopteri, Cichliformes, Cichlidae.
CAGAACUUAGUUGACUGCUGACCAGGGAGUCUUGAAUAUUUGUUCACAGUGGCUAAGUUCGUCA